GGGCCCGCACAAGCAGUGGAGUAUGUUGUUUAAUUCGAAGCAACGCGAAGAACCUUACCAGGUCUUGACAUCGAGUGAAAGCCCUAGAGAUAGGGCCCUCCCUUCGGGGACACGAAGACAGGUGGUGCAUGGUUGUCGUCAGCUCGUGUCGUGAGAUGUUGGGUUAAGUCCCGCAACGAGCGCAACCCUUAUCAUUAGUUGCUACGCAAGAGCACUCUAAUGAGACUGCCGUUGACAAAACGGAGGAAGGUGGGGAUGACGUCAAAUCAUCAUGCCCUUUAUGACCUGGGCUACAAACGUACUACAAUGGUAUAUAACAAUGGGAAGCAAAGCCGCGAGGUGGAGCAAAUCCCCAAAAUAUAUCUCAGUUCGGAUUGCAGGCUGCAACUCGCCUGCAUGAAGUCGGAAUUGCUAGUAAUCGCAGAUCAGCAUGCUGCGGUGAAUACGUUCCCGGGCCUU
RNAcentral lists this ribosomal RNA (459 nucleotides) under uncultured bacterium. RNAcentral describes it as "bacterial SSU rRNA". It matches the Rfam family "Bacterial small subunit ribosomal RNA", at positions 917 to 1382 of the family's 1533-position model. The record is from RNAcentral.